CAAAGCCGCGAGGCGGAGCGAAUCCCAAAAGGCGUCUCAGUUCGGAUUGCAGGCUGCAACUCGCCUGUAUGAAGUCGGAAUUGCUAGUAAUCGUGGAUCAGCAUGCCACGGUGAAUACGUUCCCGGGCCUUGUACACGCCGCCCGUCACACCAUGGGAGUCGGUAACACCCGAAGUCGGUAGCCUAACCGUAAGGAGGGCGCCGCCGAAGGUGGGAUUGAUGACUGGGGUGAAGUCGUAACAAGGUAUC
RNAcentral lists this ribosomal RNA (249 nucleotides) under uncultured bacterium. RNAcentral describes it as "partial 16S ribosomal RNA". It matches the Rfam family "Bacterial small subunit ribosomal RNA", at positions 1250 to 1500 of the family's 1533-position model. The record is from RNAcentral.